ACAUACUUCUUUAUGUACCCAUAUGAACAUAUGAUAACUAUGGAAUGUAAAGAAGUAUGUAU
RNAcentral lists this microRNA precursor (62 nucleotides) under Tetraodon nigroviridis (spotted green pufferfish). RNAcentral's name for it is "Tni-Mir-1-P1_pre stem-loop". It matches the Rfam family "mir-1 microRNA precursor family", at positions 10 to 70 of the family's 79-position model. Rfam says of the family: This family represents the microRNA (miRNA) mir-1 family. miRNAs are transcribed as ~70nt precursors (modelled here) and subsequently processed by the Dicer enzyme to give a ~22nt product. In this case the mature sequence comes from the 3' arm of the precursor. The record is from RNAcentral. Lineage: Eukaryota; Metazoa; Chordata; Actinopteri; Tetraodontiformes; Tetraodontidae.